RNAcentral lists this ribosomal RNA (466 nucleotides) under uncultured bacterium. Its description in RNAcentral is "partial 16S ribosomal RNA". It matches the Rfam family "Bacterial small subunit ribosomal RNA", at positions 28 to 507 of the family's 1533-position model. The record is from RNAcentral.
GACGAACGCUGGCGGCGUGCUUAACACAUGCAAGUCGAACGGUAAGGCUCCAGCUUGCUGGGGUACACGAGUGGCGAACGGGUGAGUAACACGUGGGUGACCUGCCCUGCACUUCGGGAUAAGCCUGGGAAACUGGGUCUAAUACCGGAUAGGACCAUGGUGUGGAUACUGUGGUGGAAAGUUUUUUCGGUGUGGGAUGGGCGCGCGGCCUAUCAGCUUGUUUGUGGGGUAAUGGCCUACCAAGGCGGCGACGGGUAGCCGGCCUGAGAGGGUGGACGGCCACAUUGGGACUGAGACACGGCCCAGACUCCUACGGGAGGCAGCAGUGGGGAAUAUUGCACAAUGGGCGGAAGCCUGAUGCAGCGACGCCGCGUGGGGGAUGACGGCCUUCGGGUUGUAAACUCCUUUCACCAUCGACGAAGGGUUUCUGACGGUAGAUGGAGAAGAAGCACCGGCUAACUACGUG